UCUACACAUCAUGGGCCCUCGUCGCAUGUUUGUAGAAUGAACGCACUGAAAGAAUGAGGGAAGCAGCAGCAAGGAAGGUCGAAGAGGUGCAAGAAUUUUGCAAGAGGCAGCCUGGGAUAUUCAGGUCUCUCUUGUGUUGGUUUGGAAAAACCUCCAGUUGGUGAUUCCAGAGCUGGCCUGUCAAUCUCUUCAAACAAGCCUAGUGAUAUCAUCAACCAUUGCCUCACCUUGACUGAAUUCCCAGAGCAAACUUCUGGAAAAGUGACCAACGAUCAGUGCGGGGACAGGAAAAACCUUGAAGACAAAGAAGAUGGGGAGGAGUGGUCAGGAAAAUCAAGCCCAGGGCAGAGGUGAAGUUGCCAGCUACCAGGAAAGAAAGGUUCCAGCUUCGGGGUUUUGAGGUUACUGCGCCUGCAUGCUGAGGCCCGCCCUUCCCGUAGUCUGGUGACCGUAGGACCCGAGGCGCGUGCGGCAGCGCCCUCUGCCGGCCAGGCUGGGGCAAACCAUCAGCUCUGCUGCUUUGCAGGUGGGACCCGGGAUCCCUCCCGCUGCCUCCGCCCCCGCUCCAUCCCUUCCCAGGACUGCACAGCCUGGUCCCAGAUCAGAUUUCAGGAGACGCGUCUCUAUCUGAUGCCUUCGGGCUGAGCAGGAUGAUGCUCGGAAACAUCCAAUUCACCCGGGGAUCGGAGGCCGCGGGAACCCACCCAAACCCAGGAGAGGCUGCGCCUCUUGGGACCCGGGGCCAAAGCCUGCUGGGCUGUCGGAGGUGGUUUGGAAGUGGCAUCGCCUAUGGCCAAGACCGCGGGUUCUGCGGACAGAGAGGAGCCCUGGGUUCGCUUUCUGCCUCAUCUAUUUUCAAGCUAGGUGACCUUGGGCAAGGUACUUAAAUUUCCCUGUGCCUUAGUUUCCUCAUCUUUAAGAUGGAGAAAAUGAUCCCGACCUUAGUGGGUUGACAUGACGAUUACAUGGGAUCAGACUGCCUGGGUUGGAAUUCUGGCACUGACAUCAGCUAGCUGUGUGCCUGGGGCGAGUUACUUAACCUCUCUGUGCCCCUGUUUCCUGCAAAAUAGGGAUAAUAACGGUACUUACCUCCG
Long non-coding RNA from Phacochoerus africanus (Common warthog), 1094 nucleotides. RefSeq lists it as uncharacterized. The transcript is spliced from 3 exons. The record is from RefSeq and is a predicted model, not a curated record. Lineage: Eukaryota; Metazoa; Chordata; Mammalia; Artiodactyla; Suidae.